This is a non-coding RNA of Aedes albopictus (Asian tiger mosquito), 116 nucleotides long. Lineage: Eukaryota; Metazoa; Arthropoda; Insecta; Diptera; Culicidae. The record is from Rfam.
UGCCUAGCAACUUCUAUACCUACCUCCGCGUGGCACCGGCCGGGAUGUGAUCAACUUAAGGGAAGAUCGGGUAACCAACCCCGGUGGGAACUUUGGUCGUAGUCUGACGGGGAAGG